GAAAAUUUAGUUAAAUAAUAACAUUAAUUUGUCAAAUUAAAAUUAUCAAUUUUGAUAAUUUUCA
This 64-nucleotide transfer RNA is filed under the name Tetraserica leishanica. RNAcentral's name for it is "tRNA-Asp". The record is from RNAcentral. Lineage: Eukaryota; Metazoa; Arthropoda; Insecta; Coleoptera; Scarabaeidae.